RNAcentral lists this ribosomal RNA (497 nucleotides) under uncultured bacterium. Its description in RNAcentral is "partial 16S ribosomal RNA". It matches the Rfam family "Bacterial small subunit ribosomal RNA", at positions 28 to 507 of the family's 1533-position model. The record is from RNAcentral.
GAUGAACGCUGGCGGCGUGCCUAAUACAUGCAAGUCGAGCGAAAGGGCGCGAAUCUUGCUUCUCUGAUGUUAGCGACGGAUGGGUGAGUAACACGUGGACUACCUACCUAUAAGACUUGGAUAACUUCGAGAGACCGGAGUUAAUACCGGAUAAUAUUUUGAACCGCAUGGUUCGAAAGUGAAAGACGGUUUUGCUGUCACUUCUAGCUGGAUCCGGGCUGCAUUAGAUAGUUGGUAAGGUAACGGCUUACCAAGGCAAGGAUGCAUAGCCGACCUGAGAGGGUGAUCGGCCACACUGGAGCUUGGACACGGUCCAGGCGCCUACGGGAGGGAGCAGUAGGGAAUGUGCCGCAAUAGGCGAAAGCCUGACGGAGCGACGGCGCGUGAGAGAUGAAGGUCUUCGGAUCGUAAUACUCUGUUAUUAGUGAAGAACAUAUGUGUAAGUAACUGAGCACAUCGUGACGGUACCUAGUCAGAAAGCCACGGCUAACUACGUG